AGGGCAGUAGCUCAAUUGGUAGAGUCCCGGUCUCCAAAACCGGCGGUUGGGGGUUCGAGUCCCUCCUGCCCUG
RNAcentral lists this transfer RNA (73 nucleotides) under Mycobacterium sp. RNAcentral describes it as "tRNA-Trp". It matches the Rfam family "tRNA". Rfam says of the family: Transfer RNA (tRNA) molecules are approximately 80 nucleotides in length. Their secondary structure includes four short double-helical elements and three loops (D, anti-codon, and T loops). RNAcentral also lists the same sequence under 16 other names. The record is from RNAcentral. Lineage: Bacteria; Bacillati; Actinomycetota; Actinomycetes; Mycobacteriales; Mycobacteriaceae.